RNAcentral lists this antisense RNA (75 nucleotides) under Streptomyces sp. PRh5. RNAcentral describes it as "ASpks sRNA". It matches the Rfam family "ASpks TB sRNA". Lineage: Bacteria; Bacillati; Actinomycetota; Actinomycetes; Kitasatosporales; Streptomycetaceae. The record is from RNAcentral.
CUUCACCGACCCCAACAGCAACGGCCGGCCCUCCGGCCGACCCUGCCCAUAAGUCGCCAGCAGCGCCUGCGCCUC